UCAUCUGUAAUAUCAUGAGCUCUCAGUGAAAGGUAUUUUCUCCCCUGAGUUGAUGUGCAUGGUCCCAUGUCCUAGUCACAUGUCCAAGAAGGAAAGGCAUUUUACUCCCCUGAGAUGA
This is a long non-coding RNA of Nanorana parkeri, 118 nucleotides long. RefSeq lists it as uncharacterized. The record is from RefSeq and is a predicted model, not a curated record. The transcript is spliced from 3 exons. NCBI's taxonomy places the organism in Eukaryota, Metazoa, Chordata, Amphibia, Anura, Dicroglossidae.